GAUGAACGCUGGCGGCGUGCCUAAUACAUGCAAGUCGAGCGAACGGACGAGAAGCUUGCUUUUCUGAUGUUAGCGGCGGACGGGUGAGUAACACGUGGAUAACCUACCUAUAAGACUGGGAUAACUUCGGGAAACCGGAGCUAAUACCGGAUAAUAUUUUGAACCGCAUGGUUCAAAAGUGAAAGACGGUCUUGCUGUCACUUAUAGAUGGAUCCGCGCUGCAUUAGCUAGUUGGUAAGGUAACGGCUUACCAAGGCAACGAUGCAUAGCCGACCUGAGAGGGUGAUCGGCAACACUGGAACUGAGACACGGUCCAGACUCCUACGGGAGGCAGCAGUAGGGAAUCUUCCGCAAUGGGCGAAAGCCUGACGGAGCAACGCCGCGUGAGUGAUGAAGGUCUUCGGAUCGUAAAACUCUGUUAUUAGGGAAGAACAUAUGUGUAAGUAACUGUGCACAUCUUGAAGGUACCUAAUCAGAAAGCCACGGCUAACUACGUG
RNAcentral lists this ribosomal RNA (497 nucleotides) under uncultured bacterium. Its description in RNAcentral is "partial 16S ribosomal RNA". It matches the Rfam family "Bacterial small subunit ribosomal RNA", at positions 28 to 507 of the family's 1533-position model. The record is from RNAcentral.